CUGCCCKUYGUACACACCGCCCGUCGCUACUACCGAUUGGAUGGUUUAGUGAGGUCUUCAGAUCAGCCCCGCCGGGGUCAGACACGGCCCUGGUGGACCACUGAGAAGAUGAUCAAACUUGACUAUUUAGAACAAGUAAAAGUCAUAAGAUUUCUGUAGGUGAACCUGCAGAAGGAUCAUUA
This 182-nucleotide ribosomal RNA is filed under the name Halobatrachus didactylus (Lusitanian toadfish). RNAcentral's name for it is "partial 18S ribosomal RNA". It matches the Rfam family "Eukaryotic small subunit ribosomal RNA". The record is from RNAcentral. Lineage: Eukaryota; Metazoa; Chordata; Actinopteri; Batrachoidiformes; Batrachoididae.